Molecule: ribosomal RNA, 465 nt
Filed under: uncultured bacterium
Lineage: Bacteria
Description: partial 16S ribosomal RNA
Rfam family: Bacterial small subunit ribosomal RNA
Source: RNAcentral
CCUACGGGAGGCAGCAGUAGGGAAUCUUCCACAAUGGACGAAAGUCUGAUGGAGCAACGCAGCGUGAAUGAAGACGGGUUUCUGCUCGGAAAGCUCUGUUGAUAGUGGAGAAAGAUAGAGGUAGUAAAUUGCCUUUAUUUGACGGUAAUUACUUAGAAAGUCACGGCUAACUACGUCCCAGCAGCCGCGGUAAUACGUAGGUGGCAAGCGUUGUCCGGAUUUGUUGGGCGUAAAGCGAGUGCAGGCGGUUCAAUAAGUCUGAUGUGAAAGUCUUCGGCUCAACCGGAGAAUUGCAUAAGAAACUGUUGAACUUGAGUGCAGAAGAGGAGAGUGGAACUCCAUGUGUAGCGGUGGAAUGCGUAGAUAUAUGGAAGAACACCAGUGGCGAAGGCGGCUCUCUGGUCUGCAACUGACGCUGAGGCUCGAAAGUAUGGGUAGCGAACAGGAUUAGAUACCCUGGUAGUC